GCAGCUGCGGCGCCGAGAGCCCGACGUACUCCUGCAGCUCCCGCAGCCCCAGCCGCCCGCCAUGGGAGCACAGCGUCUGGGUGGAGGACAGCCCAGCAGCUGGAAUUACAGGAGAGGAAGGGAGAAGAGAAGGAGAAAGAUACACCUGGAAUGGCAAAUUCUCCCAACAGUGCCAAGAAGGAGAGCUGUGAUGAGUCCUCUGGGCCCUUUCCCAGGACACUCCCUGCCCCUCCACUGCCCCCCUCCUCCCUCUUUCCCACAGCACUGCAAUUUUUAAAUUUUGACUCCCUUGUAUCUCCUUUCUCCAUCUUUCUCUGAGCGGUUCCCUGUCCCUGUAUUUGCCCUAUAAUCCCUGGCUGCUUCUUCCUUUGCUGUCUCUCUGUCUCUGGCUCCCAGGCAGUAUUUUGGAGUUCUUCCCUCUCUGUCCUGGAGCCUGUUAGUGUUUCUCCUAUCUCUGUGUCUCUCUGUCCGGCAGAUUGUCCCUGUUCAAGGUUUUUCUGCUUGGCUCUGUAGCACGGAGUGAGUCUAUUUCUGUCUCUCUCUCUUUGCUCUGCUCCCUGCCCUUCAUUUUGAAAUCCUCCCUCUCUGUCCUGUGGCCUACUGUGUUCUUUCUCUGUCUCUCCUUUUUCUGGUUCCCAGUCCCUAUUUAUCAAUUACUUCUUUCUCUUUCAGUCUGGGCUGGAUCACAAUCUUUAAUUCCUCCUUUCUUUCCCUGAGGUCCAUCUUUCUUUCUCUUGCCCACCUUGGGUUCUCUGUCCCUGUUUUAAUUCCUCUCUCCCUGCUGUGCUUCCUGUGCAGGUGAUCCUGUGUCAGGUCUUUAUCCUAUCUUUUAAUUUCUUACUCUCCCUCUGUUAGCCCAUUGCUGUCAUACUGUUUUGCCAUCUCCGUGUUCAGCUCCAUAUUCCUGUUUUUCCCUUCUCCUCUCUCUGCACCCUGUUGCCCCUGGCUGUUUUUAAUUUCUCCAUCUCUCUCUGCCUGGCUCCAGCUCCAGCUCCCUGUUUCUUCAUUCCUUCCUCUCUGUCUUGUAGCCCAUCAGUAUUUUUAAUUUCUCUGACUCUCUUUGUCCUGCUCCCUGUGGUUCAGUUUCUUCCUUCUCAGCCCUGUGGACAGUGUGAUGCUGGUUCCUUCUCUGCCUCUCCUUUUCCAUUUCCCUGUUGCUUGCUUUGAAUCCCAUGCACUCCCUGCAUCUUAUUUCUUCCCACCCCCGUGUUUUAAUUCCUCCCUUCCUGCUGCACAGCCCGUUGCUUUUUCCUUUUUUCAUCUCUCUCCAUCCAUCUUGCUGUGCCCACUUUUUAAUCCUUCCCCUCUGCUCUGUACCCUGCUGCUAUUUUUCCCCUUUUUGCAUCUGUUUGUCCAGCUGCCUAUCCCUAGAGGUUCAUUCUGCCCUCUUCCUCCUGCACCCACCGCUGUUCCCCACCAUCGCCAUCCCUCUCUGCUCCCAGUGCCUCUGUGGCCAGCUUUCUGUGUCUGGUAACUAAUUGCUCUCUAGAUCCCGACUUUUCUCUCCGCUCACUCUUAGGACAAGGCUGGGAUAUGGAUGGGGUCUGCGUCCCGUCUGCCACCCGCUGACGGAUCUCGGUACUGCUGCUGCCUCCGCCACGCCCGGGAUCCAGCACAUGCGGACGAUCGAUGGGGAAACUGCAACGGGCUGAGGUAAUUGGGAUGCAAAGAAAAACGGAUCUGUGCCGCAGGAAUCCCGAGGGAAUGCAAAGUGUGAUUAAAACUGGGGUGGCAACUCAGCAUCCGAACUCAGGGGCACAUCCAGGCUCUCCUGUCCCAGGUUUUGAUGGCAGACACAUAUACCUUGUGAAGCACAAGGAUUCAGCCUGGAAUCACAAAGCAUCAUGUCAUCAGCGUCAGAAAAUGGCUUAAGGAGCAGUACCCCCAAAGUCCAACCUUGGCAUCAAGAGGCAGUAGAUUUACUUGCACAGAUAUUGUCACCUGAAGACACACUUUUCCUGUCCAAAGAGGAAGCAAAGGUGUGUGAGGCAGAUGAAGGAGCUCAGAGCACUCGUGCAGAUGGAGGACGGUGCUGUUGACAGCGGCCAGAGGGUGGUAGCACUGCACAGCUCCUACUACUCUAUCCUCCUCAAACUACGGUUAAAAAUAGCGGCAUUUCUUCAUUUCUUGUGAGGAAAAGAAGAAAAAAGAGCUGACAGGACUUGUUCAAGCUGCCCUUCCUGCUCCUCCUCCGUGGGUGCCCUCUCAGCCUGCUUUGAUGGGUACAACCCAAGAUGGAGCCUUUGCCUUCCUUGGCGGCGGCUGCAGGGACAGCUCUGGUGAGGGUGGCCUUGAAGUGGGAAGGGGCAGUGAACCACAUGCUGGGAAGGCACCAGUGGUGAUCCCACCACUGUCGAAGUAACAAACCAGGUCAGGCCUUGGCACACAGGUCCACCCACCUCAGCACCUCUUCCCAAGCUAAUAUUGGGGUCAGCUCAAAUUUCCGGUCUUAAUUAUGCCACUCCCUACAUGCACCAAAGAAAACCAUCAGCAAUCUGGGCUGAUUACUACCUCUUUCCUGGGAGAGGGCAAUCUGUUUGCUCUGAUGGAGGUUGCAGAAUGUGCAGUGCCUUAAAAAGCUGCAGACAACCCUUCUGGGUGCAGAUUUGCCUUUGGGAAUGGGAGACAUCAGAAAUAAAGGCCACUUCAGAUCAGGACAUUCCAAACCCAACAGGAACAGAAAAGUUAUUUAUCUUUUGUAUUCUUCACUAAUAUCUUUUUCUUUGGAGUGUAUCUGUCGGUAUCUGAGCUUAAAGUAUAAAAAGAUAUGAAGAUGGAGUAAGACGUAUGAGUGGAAACUGCUGCUCAGCCAGGGAGAGGCUACUAACUCUCCAUAAUGCAUGCACUCUAAACUACAUCCAUAAAUGCCAGGCAUGAUUUAAUAGGCUAUAAAAUCCUACAUCAUGAUGCCACUGGAACUAUUGAAAAUAAAAGCAGAUAAAUCACAAUUCUGUGCAACAAGCUGUACUCGCAUUGCUAUUUUUUUUUCACCUACCAGGGUUUCAUUGUACCAUUUGCUGAGCAUACACAACUCUCAGCCUUGAGUUUCCAUUUCCUUCUCCAUUUCCAAGCUUGAAUUUUCACAUCAGCCCACUGGCUCUGCAGCUGUGUGGUCACACUGCU
Long non-coding RNA from Corvus hawaiiensis (hawaiian crow), 3123 nucleotides. RefSeq lists it as uncharacterized. The record is from RefSeq and is a predicted model, not a curated record. The transcript is spliced from 8 exons. NCBI's taxonomy places the organism in Eukaryota, Metazoa, Chordata, Aves, Passeriformes, Corvidae.